This 253-nucleotide ribosomal RNA is filed under the name uncultured bacterium. RNAcentral's name for it is "partial 16S ribosomal RNA". It matches the Rfam family "Bacterial small subunit ribosomal RNA", at positions 524 to 776 of the family's 1533-position model. The record is from RNAcentral.
UACGUAGGGGGCAAGCGUUGUCCGGAAUCAUUGGGCGUAAAGAGCGUGUAGGCGGCCCGAUAAGUCCGCUGUGAAAGUCCAGGGCUCAACCCUGGGAUGCCGGUGGAUACUGUCGGGCUCGAGUCCGGAAGAGGAGUGUGGAAUUCCUGGUGUAGCGGUGAAAUGCGCAGAUAUCAGGAGGAACACCAAUGGCGAAGGCGGCUCACUGGUCCGGUACUGACGCUGAGGUGCGAAAGCGUGGGGAGCAAACAGG